GUAGGUGGCAAGCGUUGUCCGGAAUUAUUGGGCGUAAAGCGCGCGCAGGUGGUUCUUUAAGUCUGAUGUGAAAGCCCCCGGCUCAACCGGGGAGGGUCAUUGGAAACUGGGGAACUUGAGUGCAGGAGAGGAAAGUGGAAUUCCACGUGUGGCGGUGAAAUGCGUAGAUAUGUGGAGGAACACCAGUGGCGAAGGCGACUUUCUGGCCUGUAACUGACACUGAGGCGCGAAAGCGUGGGGAGCAAACAGGGAUUAGAUACCCUGGUAGUCCACGCCGUAAACGAUGAGUGCUAAGUGUUGGGGGGGUUUCCGCCCCCUCAGUGCUGCAGCUAACGCAUUAAGCACUCCGCCUGGGAGUACGGUCGCAAGACUG
RNAcentral lists this ribosomal RNA (373 nucleotides) under uncultured organism. Its description in RNAcentral is "partial 16S ribosomal RNA". It matches the Rfam family "Bacterial small subunit ribosomal RNA", at positions 527 to 896 of the family's 1533-position model. The record is from RNAcentral.